GGCCGCCGAGGCCCGGCGCUGGCGGCUCCGCGCCCAGCAGGUGGCAGCGCGGCCACGGGCUGCGGCCGGCCGGCGGCCUUGGGCUGAAGAUUAAAUUAGCCCUCGUAAAGAUUUAUUAAAGCUCGGUGGCUGAGGCCGGGGAAGGUAUUUGGAUGUGGGCGGUGGCCCAGCUCCCUCCCCCGGGAUUCGCGCUUCCCCCGAGAGGCGCCGCGAGCCGUGGCGGCGGGCGCAGGCCGGGCGUUGCGGCAGCGCUGGCAGCGCCCUCGCCCCCAGAGAACAGCCCCCGGCAAACCCCGGGGCAGGGCCGCCUCCUGUGCUGGGCUUCUGAAGCACCUGAAGCCCAUCAGCACACCUGGGCAGAGAUCUGUUCCUGCGCUUGAAGGGAAGUCAUUAAGGGAGGGCGGGGAGGGCUGAGGAGGGGGCUUCUGCCUUCGCAGCGUAGGUCGGUGUAAGUGCACCUGCUGUGGGCUCUUCAGUCCUGCACUGGGAGGUGAAGCCAAAACAGGGAAGUGAAAGCAGAAGAAAGGACGGCUCUGUGCAGUGCUUUGGGUGGUGGGAAUGGCUGCCCAAACAGCGGGAUACAACUCCAGGCCAGGCAGCACCCUGUGCAUUUUUGCCCCCUCCUCUGGAGCGUGGUGCAAGCCCAUAGCCUUCUGUCUUGAGCAAGAGCAGCUCCUGUCCUGUCUGGAGAAAAGCCAUGUGCAGGUGUGGGUGUGCGGGGAAAGGAGCUAAGCCUCCUGGAGGGGCUGUGUGGGGCUGUGCCUGCCAUGGGGGGCAGGAGCUCGGCUCCUUGCACUGCAGCAUCGCCGUGUCCCCGGCCAGCAAUGCCUGCGUGGGCUGCGCUGUGUUCACCUGGCUCCGUCUGCCAGCUUCUGGCAGGCUUCCUGACCGUGCUGAGCAGGGGAAAGUGGACCCUGGAGCAAAGCCGUUCCUGCAGGUGUGUGAAUGAAGUUGGAGAAAGUCCUUCAGUACGCAGAACCACUGCUCAGACACGAUCAACACCCAACUGCAGAAGUUUUGAACCGUCCAAGAAGUGAAGAUUUUGGAAGUGGAGGUCUCCCCUUCUGCCUUGAACCCGGCCGGUAUUGCCACCAACCAGUAUUUUCUUCCCUGGGUGAAAAGCACUUACGGGAACUCAUUUGCUGUGUGCUGAGGACAAAGCAUCUCGAGUUCACGGUAAGAUACAUCAACCUUGGGUUUUGCUAUUUAUGUAUUUACUUCUUUUUUUUUUUUGGCUUUGCUUUCCUUAAAUUAAAAAGAUUGAGCAGGGUCUUUUACAACAAUGUAAGCACACUUCAUUCCACGCUGUUCUUCAUCACAUGCUGUUCUCAGCUAAAAUACCAAUAAUUAAAUGGCACACCUGCUGGACAGCGAGUCCUUACGGUGCUGGCAGGCCAGGCGGCGCCGCAGUGCCCACGCUGCCCAACAUCACUUGUGUUCUUGCCAUCGAUCUGCCUGGGGGCUAAGCGCUGAGCGCUGCUUGGCUUCGCUGGGUGACUGACCAAGGCUGCUCCAGGUACUGAAAAAGUGUCACCUCCUUGCAAUGAAGACUCCUUGAAGCAGAAAUGCUAAAAUUUCCUCAGUGCCUCCUGUCUCUGCAAAGGAUAUGAUAGAAGACAAUUUUGCAUAAUCUUGUUUGACUAAUGCUCUUAUUUUUAAUGAACCGUUUCAGACUGCGCCUUGAAGGAAGAAGGCAACAAAGGAGAAAAUUUCCUACUUCUGAUAGCUCAUUCUGUCUCAAAAAAGAGAAAUUUGGCAAAAGUACUAGACAUUUGCUAGGAAUUAGAUAUUGACAGCAAGUAUAGGAAUGUCCCAGAUUUCCUGCCUAUAAAAACAGAAAAUGCUGUCUCUGUUUAAGGAAUAUUAAGAAGAUAUACACAUCGUAUUAACGUAGUCCUUCAAAUAUUUAUGUCCCAGUCUUGCAGAUGUUAACACGUUGUGGUCUUGAGCAGAUCCUGUGGAGGUCACAGAAAGGUGUUUGUACUCCUCCAAGAUCUGUGGAUGGAGAGCCCAGCAUCUCUGCUUUUGUGGGAGUUAAGUUCUUAAAGCAUAACAGGCCAGGCCCUAAAUUUUCUGUCUUAACACCGAGUACCCUAUUGUGGUAUUUAAAAGCAUAGAUAAAGAUUUAGCUUUGUAAAAUGAUACCAUAUUUCCAGGAUGAACUUCUUAGUAAAGUAAUUUAUGUGUCUCACUUAAAUUCUUUUCUUCAGCUUCAUGCCCGAGAAUUCUCUCUGCAUUUUUUUAUAGUCAAUAGAAGUUCUUAACUAACGGUGUGGGUGAUAGUGACAAUUAGUGGAAGAUUAAGGCAGCCAAAUUGAGUAUACUCCAGAGAGACCUUGGAGCCCAGCUUUACACGCUUCUUUCCAUAUGAAACUUUAAACAUCGGACUGUUAAGAAGCACUGGUACUGCGCUUCAGAAGGGGGGUGUCUUAAACAGAAGUGCAGCUCUCACAACUGGAGUUACUCUGCUAAUUCCUUCUGAUUCUGACGUUGUAGAGUGAGUAGGUAGGUGCUCUUUUUUUUGCUUAAAAAGCUUGCACAUAGCAUGGAUGGAGCAGGGGAAAAUGAGCCCGUACUAGAAGGGCUGAUUUAGAAGGAAAUAGAUUGCAGAUUCCUGAAAAAAACAUGCUUAGUGUUAUGGGUUACUAAUGUAAUAAAUGUCACAGAGAGGUUAUGUUUUACUUGAAG
Molecule: long non-coding RNA, 2688 nt
Organism: Anser cygnoides (Swan goose)
Lineage: Eukaryota; Metazoa; Chordata; Aves; Anseriformes; Anatidae
Source: Ensembl